AUGGUCUGCACGAGGGAAGAUCAGUAAGUCCGUGCAUAGUUGCUCAAUAAUCUUUCCAAAGAGGCCUUGAUCCAAGUUACCUCGCAUGAGAGAUCACAUGCGGUCUAGACAGCUCUGAGCAGCAUGUUUGCCUCCACGUCAAGGUCCCGCUUCAACAAUCUUCGCAUCAGCCUGAUGAACACCUCGAAAGGCAACCAGUCCGCUGCUGCCUACUUUCGGCCACAUGAGGUCCCUUGCAGAUGA
This 243-nucleotide ribosomal RNA is filed under the name Triticum aestivum (bread wheat). Its description in RNAcentral is "partial small subunit ribosomal RNA". Lineage: Eukaryota; Viridiplantae; Streptophyta; Magnoliopsida; Poales; Poaceae. The record is from RNAcentral.